GGGCCCGCACAAGCGGUGGAGCAUGUGGUUUAAUUCGAUGCAACGCGAAGAACCUUACCAGGGCUUGACAUACUGCGAAUCUUUUUGAAAGAAGAGAGUGCCUUCGGGAAUGCAGAUACAGGUGGUGCAUGGCUGUCGUCAGCUCGUGUCGUGAGAUGUUGGGUUAAGUCCCGCAACGAGCGCAACCCUUGUUUUUAGUUACCAAUUCGUUGGGUUUUCUAGAAAGACUGCCGGUGACAAACCGGAGGAAGGUGAGGAUGACGUCAAGUCAGCAUGCCCCUUAUGUCCUGGGCUACACACGUGCUACAAUGGUUAGGACAAAGAGUCGCGAGCUCGCAAGAGUCAGCUAA
This 350-nucleotide ribosomal RNA is filed under the name uncultured bacterium. Its description in RNAcentral is "bacterial SSU rRNA". It matches the Rfam family "Bacterial small subunit ribosomal RNA", at positions 917 to 1271 of the family's 1533-position model. The record is from RNAcentral.